AGUGAACGCUGGCGGUAGGCCUGACACAUGCAAGUCGAACGGCAGCACAGUAAGAGCUUGCUCUUACGGGUGGCGAGUGGCGGACGGGUGAGGAAUACAUCGGAAUCUACUUUUUCGUGGGGGAUAACGUAGGGAAACUUACGCUAAUACCGCAUACGACCUACGGGUGAAAGCAGGGGAUCUUCGGACCUUGCGCGAUUGAAUGAGCCGAUGUCGGAUUAGCUAGUUGGCGGGGUAAAGGCCCACCAAGGCGACGAUCCGUAGCUGGUCUGAGAGGAUGAUCAGCCACACUGGGACUGAGACACGGUCCAGACUCCUACGGGAGGCAGCAGUGGGGAAUAUUGGACAAUGGGCGCAAGCCUGAUCCAGCCAUACCGCGUGGGUGAAGAAGGCCUUCGGGUUGUAAAGCCCUUUUGUUGGGAAAGAAAAGCAGCAGGUUAAUACCCCGCUGUUCUGACGGUACCCAAAGAAUAAGCACCGGCUAACUUCGUG
Molecule: ribosomal RNA, 492 nt
Filed under: uncultured bacterium
Lineage: Bacteria
Description: partial 16S ribosomal RNA
Rfam family: Bacterial small subunit ribosomal RNA
Source: RNAcentral